This 75-nucleotide transfer RNA is filed under the name Clostridiales bacterium. RNAcentral describes it as "tRNA-Cys". It matches the Rfam family "tRNA". Rfam says of the family: Transfer RNA (tRNA) molecules are approximately 80 nucleotides in length. Lineage: Bacteria; Bacillati; Bacillota; Clostridia; Eubacteriales. The record is from RNAcentral.
GGCGACGUAGCCAAGUGGUAAGGCGGGGGACUGCAAAUCCCUUAUUCGGCGGUUCGAAUCCGCCCGUCGCCUCCA